GUUAAACUGUCAACCCUGAUUAGAUCAUCCGAGUCGUGUUCAACUCAAACAGUCCUGUGACUCCUCACUAGGACUACCCUAGCCAAGGUUUUGUUAAAUUAAAAUAUGACUGUACACAGCUCCUGAACUAAAGUGGUCAAUCCCAUCUUGACACACGCACCGACAAGUCAAGUACUUGACUACACCCAGCAGCCUUCCAUCGCUGAAUUAGAAAUUCAGGUAGUCCAGUGCCUAAGUGCAGUGAGUUGCUUGCAAGUCACCAUGGCGGUCU
RNAcentral lists this long non-coding RNA (271 nucleotides) under Elaeis guineensis (African oil palm). RNAcentral's name for it is "long non-coding RNA (EGUI_LNC073917)". Lineage: Eukaryota; Viridiplantae; Streptophyta; Magnoliopsida; Arecales; Arecaceae. The record is from RNAcentral.